Molecule: non-coding RNA, 300 nt
Organism: Cinara cedri
Lineage: Eukaryota; Metazoa; Arthropoda; Insecta; Hemiptera; Aphididae
Source: the annotation of a GenBank genome assembly
GUCAUAUUGACGUCACGCUCACGACCCAUCCACGAGAAAUGGAGGAUCGGGCCGUGUGUGGGGGAGGAUGAUUAUGAUCACCGAGCGAUCACCCUUUCUUGGGGGGUUCAUGGGAUUCGCGGGGCUGUUCGCGGCUGCACGAGACGAAAUGUUGAGAGUAAGGCCGAUUGGCCCGCCUUCCGGGCUUCCCUGGAGGCGAACCGUCGGCCCCUUGAUGACGCAACCGACAGAGCCGAAGUCGAGUACGGUGUAUCGGCGGUUUCAAACGCUCUCGUUAGGGCAUGCGACGUCUCGAUGCCG